Molecule: non-coding RNA, 73 nt
Organism: Glossina palpalis gambiensis
Lineage: Eukaryota; Metazoa; Arthropoda; Insecta; Diptera; Glossinidae
Source: Rfam
GCCGGUAUAGCUCAGACGGAAGAGCAACUGACUUGUAAUCAGUAGGUCGAAGGUUCGACUCCUUUUGCCGGCA